GCCUCGAUAGCUCAGUUGGGAGAGCGUUAGACUGAAGAUCUAAAGGUCACCAGUUCGAUCCUGGUGCCGGGGA
Molecule: transfer RNA, 73 nt
Filed under: Ancylostoma caninum (dog hookworm)
Lineage: Eukaryota; Metazoa; Nematoda; Chromadorea; Rhabditida; Ancylostomatidae
Rfam family: tRNA
About the family: Transfer RNA (tRNA) molecules are approximately 80 nucleotides in length. Their secondary structure includes four short double-helical elements and three loops (D, anti-codon, and T loops). Further hydrogen bonds mediate the characteristic L-shaped molecular structure. tRNAs have two regions of fundamental functional importance: the anti-codon, which is responsible for specific mRNA codon recognition, and the 3' end, to which the tRNAs corresponding amino acid is attached (by aminoacyl-tRNA synthetases). tRNAs cope with the degeneracy of the genetic code in two manners: having more than one tRNA (with a specific anti-codon) for a particular amino acid; and 'wobble' base-pairing, i.e. permitting non-standard base-pairing at the 3rd anti-codon position.
Source: Rfam by way of RNAcentral